AUUGAACGCUGGCGGCAGGCCUAACACAUGCAAGUCGAACGGUAACAGGAAGACGCUUGCUUCUUUGCUGAUGAGUGGCGGACGGGUGAGUAAUGUCUGGGAAACUGCCUGAUGGAGGGGGAUAACUACUGGAAACGGUAGCUAAUACCGCAUAACGUCGCAAGACCAAAAAGGGGGACCUUCGGGCCUCUUGCCAUCGGAUGUGCCCAGAUGGGAUUAGCUAGUAGGUGGGGUAACGGCUCACCUAGGCGACGAUCCCUAGCUGGUCUGAGAGGAUGACCAGCCACACUGGAACUGAGACACGGUCCAGACUCCUACGGGAGGCAGCAGUGGGGAAUAUUGCACAAUGGGCGCAAGCCUGAUGCAGCCAUGCCGCGUGUAUGAAGAAGGCCUUCGGGUUGUAAAGUACUUUCAGCGGGGAGGAAGGGAGUAAAGUUAAUACCUUUGCUCAUUGACGUUACCCGCAGAAGAAGCACCGGCUAACUCCGUG
This 490-nucleotide ribosomal RNA is filed under the name uncultured bacterium. RNAcentral describes it as "partial 16S ribosomal RNA". It matches the Rfam family "Bacterial small subunit ribosomal RNA", at positions 30 to 507 of the family's 1533-position model. The record is from RNAcentral.